This 406-nucleotide ribosomal RNA is filed under the name uncultured bacterium. RNAcentral describes it as "partial 16S ribosomal RNA". It matches the Rfam family "Bacterial small subunit ribosomal RNA", at positions 30 to 526 of the family's 1533-position model. The record is from RNAcentral.
AUUGAACGCUGGCGGCAGGCCUAACACAUGCAAGUCGAGCGAGCGGAGGACGGGUGAGUAAUGUCUGGGAAACUGCCUGAUGGAGGGGGAUAACUCCUGGAAACGGUAGCUAAUACCGCAUACCCUCAGAUGUGCCCAGAGGGGAUUAGCUAGUAGGUGGGGUAACGGCUCACCUAGGCGACGAUCCCUAGCUGGACUGAGAGGAGGACCAGCCAAACUGGAACUGAGACACGGUCCAGACUCCUACGGGAGGCAGCAGUGGGGAAUAUUGCACAAUGGGCGCAAGCCUGAUCCAGCCAUGCCGCGUGUGUGAAGAAGGCCUUCGGAUUGUAAAGCACUUUCAGCGGGGAGGCGUUACCCGCAGAGGAAGCACCGGCUAACUCCGUGCCAGCCGCCGCGGUAAUUC